RNAcentral lists this unclassified non-coding RNA (287 nucleotides) under Hevea brasiliensis (rubber tree). The record is from RNAcentral. Lineage: Eukaryota; Viridiplantae; Streptophyta; Magnoliopsida; Malpighiales; Euphorbiaceae.
CGGUAAUACACGCCCUAAUGGGUGGGCAUAUCGAUUCCCAACCACCAAUACAACAAUACUCUACCACUGGUCAGCCAGCCUCUGCGACGUGGAGCCCUUGGAUGAAAAAGAUCGAAACACCGAUUACGCCAUGCAUCUUGAUCGACCACCUGCAUUCCUACAGCGAUAUAUUAAUAAAUUUGAUGUGUUGGUUCUAAACACAGGGCACCACUGGAAUCGCGGAAAGCUGAAGGCUAACCGCUGGGUGAUGCAUGUAAAUGGCAAGCCAAACAAUGACAAGAAACUCG